RNAcentral lists this ribosomal RNA (253 nucleotides) under uncultured bacterium. RNAcentral's name for it is "partial 16S ribosomal RNA". It matches the Rfam family "Bacterial small subunit ribosomal RNA", at positions 524 to 776 of the family's 1533-position model. The record is from RNAcentral.
UACGUAGGGGGCAAGCGUUGUCCGGAUUUAUUGGGCGUAAAGAGCGUGUAGGCGGCCAGGUAGGUCAGCUGUGAAAACUCGAGGCUCAACCUCGAGACGCCGGUUGAAACCAUCUGGCUAGAGUCCGGAAGAGGAGAGUGGAAUUCCUAGUGUAGCGGUGAAAUGCGCAGAUAUUAGGAAGAACACCGGUGGCGAAGGCGGCUCUCUGGAACGGUACUGACGCUGAGACGCGAAAGCGUGGGGAGCGAACAGG